AGUGAACGCUGGCGGUAGGCCUAACACAUGCAAGUCGAACGGCAGCACAGUAAGAGCUUGCUCUUACGGGUGGCGAGUGGCGGACGGGUGAGGAAUACAUCGGAAUCUACUUUUUCGUGGGGGAUAACGUAGGGAAACUUGCGCUAAUACCGCAUACGACCUACAGGUGAAAGCAGGGGAUCUUCGGACCUUGCGCGAUUGAAUGAGCCGAUGUCGGAUUAGCUAGUUGGCGGGGUAAAGGCCCACCAAGGCGACGAUCCGUAGCUGGUCUGAGAGGAUGAUCAGCCACACUGGAACUGAGACACGGUCCAGACUCCUACGGGAGGCAGCAGUGGGGAAUAUUGGACAAUGGGCGCAAGCCUGAUCCAGCCAUACCGCGUGGGUGAAGAAGGCCUUCGGGUUGUAAAGCCCUUUUGUUGGGAAAGAAAAGCAGCAGGUUAAUACCCCGCUGCUCUGACGGUACCCAAAGAAUAAGCACCGGCUAACUUCGUG
RNAcentral lists this ribosomal RNA (492 nucleotides) under uncultured bacterium. RNAcentral's name for it is "partial 16S ribosomal RNA". It matches the Rfam family "Bacterial small subunit ribosomal RNA", at positions 29 to 507 of the family's 1533-position model. The record is from RNAcentral.